UACGGAGGGGGCGAGCGUUAUUCGGAAUUAUUGGGCGUAAAGGGCGCGUAGGCGGCUGUACAAGUCAAAGGUGAAAUCCCUCGGCUCAACUGAGGAACUGCCUUUGAAACUGUACGGCUUGAGGCCGGGAGGGGGUAGCGGAAUUCCCAGUGUAGCGGUGAAAUGCGUAGAUAUCAGGAAGAACACCCGUGGCGAAGGCGGCUCUCUGGGACGGUACUGACGCUGAGGAGCGAAAGCAUGGGGAGCGAACAGG
Molecule: ribosomal RNA, 253 nt
Filed under: uncultured bacterium
Lineage: Bacteria
Description: partial 16S ribosomal RNA
Rfam family: Bacterial small subunit ribosomal RNA
Source: RNAcentral